Molecule: ribosomal RNA, 429 nt
Filed under: Gemmatimonadota bacterium
Lineage: Bacteria; Pseudomonadati; Gemmatimonadota
Description: Gemmatimonadetes bacterium partial 16S ribosomal RNA
Rfam family: Bacterial small subunit ribosomal RNA
Source: RNAcentral
UAGGGAAUCUUCCGCAAUGGACGAAAGUCUGACCGAGCAACGCCGCGUGAGUGAAGAAGGUCUUCGGAUCGUAAAACUCUGUUCUUAGAGAAGAACAAGGACGUUAGUAACUGAACGCCCCCUGACGGUAUCUAACCAGAAAGCCACGGCUAACUACGUGCCAGCAGCCGCGGUAAUACGUAGGUGGCAAGCGUUGUCCGGAUUUAUUGGGCGUAAAGCGAGCGCAGGCGGUUUCUUAAGUCUGAUGUGAAAGCCCCCGGCUCAACCGGGGAAGGUCAGUGGAAACUGGGAGACUUGAGUGCAGAAGAGGAGAGUGGAAUUCCAUGUGUAGCGGUGAAAUGCGUAGAUAUAUGGAAGAACACCAGUGGCGAAGGCGGCUCUCUGGUCUGUAACUGACGCUGAGGCUCGAAAGCGUGGGGAGCAAACAGG